CUGGAGAGCUGGCUGUGGUGACAGUUCAGUGCCGAAGGCAGCAGGCAAAGACACUUAACGAGAGACCAGACAAAUAAUCUGCAGAUACCAUGGAUUCCAUCCAUCUGAACCCUCAUGCUGCACAAUUACUUCACGUGGCAUGUGAUUGGUCAGCUACCAGUUUCUGAGAGAGUAAACACCCAGCGCAUGUGAUCCACUGCGCUUGUAGAUUUCUUCAUCCGCCCCUCCUGCACUGCACUGGGCUGGCCAGAUCUACCUACAACGUUACUGGAUCCUCAGCUGAUGCGCUAUCCUUGCACUAUUGCACUGCUAAUAUGUUAUUGCAGGUAUAACUUGCUGUAAUCCUGACUGGCUGCAUCCUGGUUCAUAUUGUAGUUGUGUAGUAUAAUUUGCACUUACUGUAAACUCUACUGAAUUUAAAUAUAAUUUUUUGCAUUGUCACCCUGUACUGUCCUGUAACACAUGUAAGUCACCUUGAAUAAAACCAUCUGUCAAAUAAAUAAAUGCAUAAUAAUAAUAAUAAUAAUAAUAAUAAUAAUAAUAAUAAUAAUAAUAAUAAUAAUAAUACCUUAGCUAACCCCACUGUAUACCCCCUUGUUGCUCAUGAAGUGACUUUAGAAACAUUAACCGAGCCUUGACAAAAACCUUGUGUUGUAAUGCUUGACGCUGAAUUGAAUACGUUUAUUUUAGUAUUCCUAAAUAUAACCCUGUUGAGUGUUUAAGGUAUGUCAUACAGCGAGAGGUUAAAAGAAACCGGUGUCUUCUCUUUUUCUUAAAUAUCACAGGACAGGAUGGGACAGGACAUUUUUUGACAAGACGGGAAGGGAUGGGAUUGCAAAAAACAAACGUACAGAACAGUACGGGAUGGGAAAAGAUCUGGUGGGACAGGAUGGGAACAAAAAUUACAUUGAAACGUUUUUCACGAGAUGGGAUGGGAUGGGACAGGAAAAUGUCUGAUGGGGCAGGAUGGGACGGAGCUCAAGUUUGACUCUGAUGCAAAACACAGAGACAGCAGAGACAGCAGAGACAGCACUGCGUUGCGUCUCUAUACUUUAUUUAACCUUCAGAAUGUUAAAUGAUCACAAUAAUUAUAACCAAUUAUCCGCAAGGAUGAUGUCACCACUUCAACUGGCCAUGCAGUGAUUUCUGAAUAAUCAUAGUUAUAUUUAACAGAAUAUAGCAGCAUAUUUAUUAAAAAAUACAGUAAUAUAUCAUUUGGUAUUCUUGUGUAUAACGUAGCUGCUCUGAGUCAGGCCUCCCAGAAUUCCCAAUAAUAACCCCAGAAGGCUAUAGUUGAUUUCUUCAAGGAUGUGAGCGCAGAUAAUAACCCAAUUAAUUCCCAGUUACCAGAAACGAGAUGCAAGAUAUAAUGUUAACAGUGGUGAUUAUACUGGAAAAUUGUUGGACUAGCGCUAUUCCGGUAAUUUUCAAAGAAUUCUCCUUUAAAAACAUUCAGUGUUCUUAGGAACAGUGUCACAGUAUUGCCAAAUUAAUUGUUUUAUCCUCUAUUACUGUAAAAGGACUGCUGUUCAGAAAACUAUAUCCUGAUUUGGUCUGUAACCAUUUUACAUUUUUUAAGCUUAAGCUUUUUCCUGAACCUCUAUUGGAAGCGUUGGCUGUUAUCAGCACGAGAUGAGACAUAAAAAAAAAGAUUUGGUUGAGAUUCUUGACCUUUGAGAUAAAAAAAAAACGCCACUGACCUCAUAAUUGCUCCAGUAACAGUUUCUAUAUAUAGAAGGGAUUGGGAUCUGAGCUUGUGUUUCUCACAGAGUGAAACCACAAGAGACUGUCCUCCGCUCCCAGCGACACACAGAGGCACAACAUGAUGCCAGCGCAGGAAAUGCAUUGAGGAUUGUAAUUAAAAUAAAUAAAUAAAUAAAUGAAAAUAAAAUAAAUAGAUAAACAAACCACUUAAAACAUUUCUCUCAAAUGAAACUGAAUCAUAGCGCUGUAUUUAAUACCAUCAUUGUAUUCAAAUGGUGGCCCAACCCACUAUUUGCUGGGGGUCCUAAUAAAAUGAAACAGACUCCUUGAGGUGCAUGAAGUGGCUGUUUCUAUUGUGAUGUCAUUGUUGCGUUAUGGGUUGCAUCACCUGGGAAAUAAAAAGCUGACGUCACUGGCCAAGCAUUACGUGGGCUUGUAAUUCCCUAAACUAUUAAUUAUGCACUUCCGACACUGGCAUCAGUAUCUGCUUUUAAUCUAUUACCUUAUCGUACGAAGAGAGAGUAACGAUUCGCUUGCAUUACAUUCUUCACCAUUUUCAAAAGACCAGAACACAGUGCUUCUCUUUAUCACAGGAGCCUUUGCUUUUUAAGUGUCGGGAUUCAUUGCCAAGUAGGGUGUGGCUCCUUCUCAGAGGUUCGAAGCAGAGUCUCGACUUCUGCUAGCAUGCCAGUCAUUUCGUAGUAAGCAGAAAAAUAUAUAUUUUUGGUUUUAUAAGCUCCCCCCCC
Long non-coding RNA from Polyodon spathula (Mississippi paddlefish), 2450 nucleotides. RefSeq lists it as uncharacterized. The transcript is spliced from 3 exons. NCBI's taxonomy places the organism in Eukaryota, Metazoa, Chordata, Actinopteri, Acipenseriformes, Polyodontidae. The record is from RefSeq and is a predicted model, not a curated record.